CUCUUCUUUCAAGGAUAGUAAGAACUUGGAUUGUAACUCGACUUUUAUUCUUUUUCAAGAAUGCCUCCCUUUUCAGGGUCAGUCGCCGGUUUUCCGGUGGCUUCUCCGACGGGGAAUGUAGGACUUUGAAUGGGGAAUGACGUUUCCCACAGACGGCGCCAAACUGUUGACCUCUAAAAAUGGCUCUUCCACGUGGCCAACUUGUAGCUACUCCACGUAUUCCUCCCUACGAAAUGAACAAACUGUCAGGCGCACACGGCCGGAACCGACGGGG
RNAcentral lists this long non-coding RNA (274 nucleotides) under Olea europaea (common olive). RNAcentral's name for it is "long non-coding RNA (OEUR_LNC009433)". Lineage: Eukaryota; Viridiplantae; Streptophyta; Magnoliopsida; Lamiales; Oleaceae. The record is from RNAcentral.